AGUCUUAUAUUCAUGAAAUGAUUAUAGAAUGCAAUUCUAUAGGAGUAGUAUAAAUCUACUAAGACUU
Molecule: transfer RNA, 67 nt
Filed under: Rhabdoblatta nigrovittata
Lineage: Eukaryota; Metazoa; Arthropoda; Insecta; Blattodea; Blaberidae
Description: tRNA-Cys
Source: RNAcentral